RNAcentral lists this ribosomal RNA (262 nucleotides) under uncultured bacterium. RNAcentral describes it as "partial 16S ribosomal RNA". It matches the Rfam family "Bacterial small subunit ribosomal RNA", at positions 524 to 783 of the family's 1533-position model. The record is from RNAcentral.
UACGUAGGGGGCAAGCGUUGUCCGGAUUUAUUGGGCGUAAAGAGCGUGUAGGCGGUUAGGUAGGUCCGUUGUGAAAACUCGAGGCUCAACCUCGAGAUGUCGGCGGAAACCACUUGGCUAGAGUCCGGAAGAGGAGAGUGGAAUUCCUGGUGGUAGCGGUGAAAUGCGCAGAGUAUCAGGAGGAACACCAGCGGCGAAGGCGGCGCUCUGGGCCGGUGACUGACACUGAGGAGCGAAGCGUGGGGAGCAAACAGGAAUAGAU